Molecule: ribosomal RNA, 497 nt
Filed under: uncultured bacterium
Lineage: Bacteria
Description: partial 16S ribosomal RNA
Rfam family: Bacterial small subunit ribosomal RNA
Source: RNAcentral
GAUGAACGCUGGCGGCGUGCCUAAUACAUGCAAGUCGAGCGAACGGACGAGAAGCUUGCUUCUCUGAUGUUAGCGGCGGACGGGUGAGUAACACGUGGAUAACCUACCUAUAAGACUGGGAUAACUUCGGGAAACCGGAGCUAAUACCGGAUAAUAUUUUGAACCGCAUGGUUCAAAAGUGAAAGACGGUCUUGCUGUCACUUAUAGAUGGAUCCGCGCUGCAUUAGCAAGUUGGUAAGGUAACGGCUUACCAAGGCAACGAUGCAUAGCCGACCUGAGAGGGUGAUCGGCCACACUGGAACUGAGACACGGUCCAGACUCCUACGGGAGGCAGCAGUAGGGAAUCUUCCGCAAUGGGCGAAAGCCUGACGGAGCAACGCCGCGUGAGUGAUGAAGGUCUUCGGAUCGUAAAACUCUGUUAUUAGGGAAGAACAUAUGUGUAAGUAACUGUGCACAUCUUGACGGUACCUAAUCAGAAAGCCACGGCUAACUACGUG